GACGAACGCUGGCGGCGUGCUUAACACAUGCAAGUCGAACGGUGAAGCGCCUUCCUUUUUGGUGGGUGUGGAUGAGUGGCGAACGGGUGAGUAACACGUGAGUAACCUGCUCCCUUCUUCUGGAUAACCGCAUGAAAGUGUGGCUAAUACGGGAUAUUCUGGGUCUGUCGCAUGAUGGGUCUGGGAAAGAUAUUGUUUCGGUGUGGGAUGGGCUCGCGGCCUAUCAGCUUGUUGGUGGGGUGAUGGCCUACCAAGGCGGUGACGGGUAGCCGGCCUGGGAGGAUGGGCGGACAUAGAAGGGAUGAGAGGCGGAGAAGACUACGAGAGGAAGCAGCAGUGGAGAAUAUAGAACGGGGGGCGGAAGGAUGAAGCAGCGACGCGGCGGGAAGGAAGGAGGCCUGCGGGUAGAGAACCUCUUUCGGGAAAGAAGAAGGGCUGCCUCGUUUGUGGGUGGGUUGACGGUAGCUGAAUAAGAAGCGCCGGCUAACUACGUG
RNAcentral lists this ribosomal RNA (494 nucleotides) under uncultured bacterium. Its description in RNAcentral is "partial 16S ribosomal RNA". It matches the Rfam family "Bacterial small subunit ribosomal RNA", at positions 28 to 507 of the family's 1533-position model. The record is from RNAcentral.